RNAcentral lists this small RNA (166 nucleotides) under Pedosphaera parvula. RNAcentral describes it as "c-di-AMP sequence". It matches the Rfam family "c-di-AMP riboswitch aptamer (ydaO/yuaA leader)". From Rfam's summary of the family: This family represents a conserved RNA structure found upstream of the ydaO and yuaA genes in Bacillus subtilis and related genes in other bacteria. The ydaO/yuaA element is thought to act as a genetic "off" switch for the ydaO and yuaA genes in its native state. Lineage: Bacteria; Pseudomonadati; Verrucomicrobiota; Pedosphaerae; Pedosphaerales; Pedosphaeraceae. The record is from RNAcentral.
GUUAUGAAGCAGCCUAAGUUGGCCUUCCUUCCUGAAGGUCAACGCGGGGGAACCAGGUUCCUCAAAGCAAUUUGAGGAUGGGGCGUAAGAUUGCGGGUAACCGCGAUCAAGGUCACUUCCAGGACCGAGCCCGUCAGCUAACCUCGUCGGCAAUUGGAAGGGCGAU